This is a ribosomal RNA of 402 nucleotides. It matches the Rfam family "Bacterial small subunit ribosomal RNA", at positions 355 to 774 of the family's 1533-position model.
UGGGGAAUAUUGCACAAUGGGCGAAAGCCUGAUGCAGCGAUGCCGCGUGGGGGAAGAAGGUUUUCGGAUUGUAAACCCCUGUCGGUAGGGACGAAGAUGACGGUACCUACCAAGGAAGCUCCGGCUAACUACGUGCCAGCAGCCGCGGUAAUACGUAGGGAGCGAGCGUUGUCCGGAAUUACUGGGUGUAAAGGGAGUGUAGGCGGGACUGCAAGUCAGACGUGAAAUCUAUGGGCUUAACCUGUAAAUUGCGUUUGAAACUGCGGUUCUUGAGUGAAGUAGAGGUUGGCGGAAUUCCCGGUGUAGCGGUGAAAUGCGUAGAUAUCGGGAGGAACAUCAGUGGCGAAGGCGGCCAACUGGGCUUUUACUGACGCUGAGGCUCGAAAGCGUGGGGAGCAAACA